This 79-nucleotide transfer RNA is filed under the name Lepisosteus oculatus (spotted gar). It matches the Rfam family "tRNA". From Rfam's summary of the family: Transfer RNA (tRNA) molecules are approximately 80 nucleotides in length. Their secondary structure includes four short double-helical elements and three loops (D, anti-codon, and T loops). Lineage: Eukaryota; Metazoa; Chordata; Actinopteri; Semionotiformes; Lepisosteidae. The record is from Rfam by way of RNAcentral.
GGUAGCAUGGCCGAGUGGUCUAAGGCACUGGAUUUUAGGCGCUAGUCCAGGGGCGUGGGCUCGAAUCCCAUGGCUGCCA